AGGAGUGUAGUUAAAUCAUAACAUAUAAUUUGCAAUUAUAAAUUAUUUAAAUAUCUCUCUUU
Molecule: transfer RNA, 62 nt
Filed under: Aenictopecheidae sp. PJ-2015
Lineage: Eukaryota; Metazoa; Arthropoda; Insecta; Hemiptera; Aenictopecheidae
Description: tRNA-Ala
Source: RNAcentral